AAUCAACGCUGGCGGCGUGCCUCAGACAUGCAAGUCGAACGCGAAAUUUCCCUUCGGGGAGAAAGUAGAGUGGCGCACGGGUGAGUAACACGUAGGUAAUUUGCCUUUGGGUGGGGAAUAACUCAGGGAAACUUGAGCUAAUACCGCAUAAUGCAGCGGCUCGACAUCGAGACAGUUGUUAAAGCGGGGGAUUGGAGCAAUCCGACCUCGCGCCUAAAGAGAAGCCUGCGGCAGAUUAGCUAGUUGGUAAGGUAAUGGCUUACUAAGGCGACGAUCUGUAACCGGCCUGAGAGGGCGGUCGGUCACACUGACACUGACAUACGGGUCAGACUCCUACGGGAGGCAGCAGUCGGGAAUUUUGGGCAAUGGGCGCAAGCCUGACCCAGCAACGCCGCGUGAAGGAUGAAAUUUUCGGAAUGUAACUUCGCAAGAACAGGAAGAAUAAGUGUGGGACAA
RNAcentral lists this ribosomal RNA (456 nucleotides) under uncultured bacterium. RNAcentral's name for it is "bacterial SSU rRNA". It matches the Rfam family "Bacterial small subunit ribosomal RNA", at positions 32 to 463 of the family's 1533-position model. The record is from RNAcentral.